The sequence is a transfer RNA, 104 nucleotides long. It matches the Rfam family "tRNA". Rfam says of the family: Transfer RNA (tRNA) molecules are approximately 80 nucleotides in length. Their secondary structure includes four short double-helical elements and three loops (D, anti-codon, and T loops). The record is from Rfam.
GCCCGGUUAGCUCAAUCGGUAGAGCGUGAGACUCUUAUCUUGCGCAUCUAAAUGCAAGAGAGUACGCGAUCUCAAGGUUGCGGGUUCGACCCCCGCAUCGGGCU